GAUGAAGAACGCAGUGAAAUGCGAUACUUGGUGUGAAUUGCAGAAUCCCGUGAACCAUCGAGUCUUUGAACGCAAGUUGCGCCCGAAGCCACUAGGCCGAGGGCACGCCUGCCUGGGCGUCACACGCCGUUGCCCCCCCAUCUACUCCUUCGGGAUUGCGGGGGGGCGGAUGAUGGCCUCCUGUGCGCCUAGCCGCGCGGUUGGCAUAAAUACCAAGUCCUCGGCGACGCACGCCACGACAAUCGGUGGUUGCGAAACCUCGGUUGCCCGUCGUGUGCGUUCGUCGCGCAUCGAGGGCUCGAAAAAAUGCUCGGCUCCGGCUGGGCUUUCAACGCGACCCCAGGUCAGGCGGGGUUACCCGCUGAAUUUAAGCAUAUCAAAAGCGGAGGA
RNAcentral lists this unclassified non-coding RNA (390 nucleotides) under soil metagenome. Its description in RNAcentral is "partial contains 5.8S ribosomal RNA, internal transcribed spacer 2, and large subunit ribosomal RNA". The stretch from base 1 to 122 matches the Rfam family "5.8S ribosomal RNA", at positions 35 to 154 of the family's 154-position model. The record is from RNAcentral.